This 343-nucleotide ribosomal RNA is filed under the name Brockphasma spinifemoralis. RNAcentral describes it as "partial 12S ribosomal RNA". The record is from RNAcentral. Lineage: Eukaryota; Metazoa; Arthropoda; Insecta; Phasmatodea; Lonchodidae.
AUAGGUAUGUUCUUUAAACCUAAAGAAUUUGGCGGUAUUUUAGUCUAUUUAGAGGAACUUGUUCUUUUAUCGAUAAUCCUCGUUUUAUCUUGCUUUAUUUUGCUGUCAGUAUGUAUAUCGUCGUUAUAAGUUUAUUUUUUUAGAAUUUAAUAAUUUACUUAAUUUUUAAUUAGAAUUUAUUUCAGAUCAAGGUGCAGCUUAUAAUAAAGUUGUAAUGAGUUACAAUAUUGUUUGAAUAAAUGGAUUUAUUAUUUUAAAAGUUUAAUGAAAGUGGAUUUAAUUGUAAUUUUAUUAUAAAGUCAAUUUGAUUAUAGCUCUAGAAUAAGUACACAUCGCCCGAUCG